This 92-nucleotide transfer RNA is filed under the name Candidatus Parcubacteria bacterium 4484_255. Its description in RNAcentral is "tRNA-Ser". It matches the Rfam family "tRNA". Rfam says of the family: Transfer RNA (tRNA) molecules are approximately 80 nucleotides in length. Their secondary structure includes four short double-helical elements and three loops (D, anti-codon, and T loops). Lineage: Bacteria; Candidatus Parcubacteria. The record is from RNAcentral.
GGAGAGGUCGCAUAGUCUGGCUGAUUGCGCUGGUCUUGAAAACCAGUAGAGCAGAAAUGCUCUCGAGGGUUCGAAUCCCUCCCUCUCCGCCA